Molecule: non-coding RNA, 108 nt
Organism: Paramuricea clavata
Lineage: Eukaryota; Metazoa; Cnidaria; Anthozoa; Malacalcyonacea; Plexauridae
Source: the annotation of a GenBank genome assembly
CAUGUAUGCAUGUAUGCAUGUAUAUGUAUGUAUGUAUGCAUGUAUAUGUAUGUAUGUAUGCAUGUAUAUGCAUACAUACAUACAUAUACAUGCAUACAUACAUAUAAA